RNAcentral lists this long non-coding RNA (1712 nucleotides) under Homo sapiens (human). Its description in RNAcentral is "HSALNT0285980". The record is from RNAcentral. Lineage: Eukaryota; Metazoa; Chordata; Mammalia; Primates; Hominidae.
UAUGUAUAAACUUAAAAAAAAAAAAAGAGGCCACAUGCACCUGUGGAUACCAGUGUGUGUGUUCAAAUAAAGAGAGAAAGAUAAAAUAUGGUACAGAGAAAAGUCAAAAAACUGAAUGAAACAAAUUUCAAAAAGCUUUACAAAAAUGUGAGUUUAUUGACAGGUUUUGUGAAACAUAAAAUAUGUGUAUUGUAACGUGGCCAUUCCUGGAUUCUUCUCCACUAGAGUGAUACAUGAAGUAUUCAGGACACUUCUGAGAAAAGAAGGGGAGAACCAAGAAAAAUCUCUGCUACUAAAGCAUGAAGACUAUGAACAUGAAGGGAGAUGACCUCAUCUGUAAGAGGGCUGACUUUCAAUAGAUGGCAGCGAGGGAGCUGCUCUGCUACGUACAAAACCAUGAAUGCUCUCUUUUCAUUUCCAUUUUCAUGAGUUAUAAAGAACAAAUUUAUUUCUCACAGUUCUGGAGGCUGGGUAGUUCAAGAUCAAGGUGCCAGCAUCUAAUGAGGACCUUCUUGCUGUGCCAUCUCAUGGUGGAAGUUAGAAGGAAACGAGAGCGUGAGAGAGAGAGAGAAAGUAAAACAAGGUAGAAUAUCUGUUUUCUGGAAAGACUGAGCAAGAUGUAUGCAUUAUUGCUUCAGGAGACUGUACAAUGUUGGAAUUUCAGGUUGCCUGCUAGAAGGGGAUUGAUUAUCUGGAUGGAAACACGACAUAUUUUUCUGGUUACAGAAUAUACCAAGGAAAAUGAGAGCAUCCCAAAUGAGAUAAUGUAGAGUGGUCCAAGACAUUCGACUGGGCUGUCUCCAAAACUUAUAAGAAGUGUAUGGCAAACAUCUUUUAAUUUCCUUUGAAUGAGAAGAUUAAGAGGGAAGAAACUAAACUGUGCUCUAAUGUCAAUAGUUUAAAAUGUUAUCAUGCUAAAAAUGACACAAAGGAACGAUUCAAAAGAAGUCGAUGAUUAUUCUAUAGGUAUUACUAUUAUUAUUUGAAUAGCGGUGUAAAUUGUAACAUAGGAAUUUGCAGAACUUUAAAUCUAAUUAAUGAAAAAUAAACCUUAUAUCUAAUGUAAGCUGAUACCUAAAUUUCAGCCCAAUAUAGGACAUGUUCUCAAUUUCUCACACUUACAGGCCAGUUACACUUUGUUUUAUCUCUCAUUAAAUCUUUUAUAUCAUUUUAAAACCUUAAUAAUUUUUAUGAAAAAUGUCUGGAUGAAACGAAAAUGUUAAAGUUUCAUAUGCCUUAUGCAUUAAGCAGAAAAUUUCCAAUUCAGACUUUUCUCACAGAUGUGUUUAAGUUGGCCUCUGCUCCUAGCAGGUAAAUUACCAAAUAGAGAAGCAAGUAUUAGCUUACAGGAUUUUUAAAAUUUAUUGUUAAAUUUGCAUAUAGAAAAAUUCACUUUUGUGCUGUACUUUUAUAGUAAAGAUUUACCCCUACCCCAACUCCUGGCAACACACUGUUCUUGAUCCCUGUAGUUUUGUUUUUUCCAGAGUGACACGUAAAUGGAAUCUUAUGUAAUCAUAUGUAAACUUUUGAAUGUGGCUUAUUGCCCUUAGCAUACGUAUUUGAGAUCUAUGCAUGUUGUUAUGGGUAUCAGGAGUUCAAUUACUUUUAUUACUGAGUAGUAUUCCAUUGUAUGGUUGUGCCAGUUUUACUAUCUCCCACUUGAGACACAUUUGAGUUGUUUCCAGUUUGCCACUAUUUUGAGUAAAGCUGCU